GUAGGUGGCAAGCGUUGUCCGGAAUUAUUGGGCGUAAAGCGCGCGCAGGUGGUUCUUUAAGUCUGAUGUGAAAGCCCCCGGGCUCAACCGGGGAGGGGUCAUUGGAAACUGGGGAACUUGAGUGCAGGAGAGGAAAGUGGAAUUCCACGUGUGCGGUGAAAUGCGUAGAUAUGUGGAGGAACACCAGUGGCGAAGGCGACUUUCUGGCCUGUAACUGACACUGAGGCGCGAAAGCGUGGGGAGCAAACAGGAUUAGAUACCCUGGUAGUCCACGCCGUAAACGAUGAGUGCUAAGUGUUGGGGGGUUUCCGCCCCUCAGUGCUGCAGCUAACGCAUUAAGCACUCCGCCUGGGGAGUACGGCCGCAAAGACUG
RNAcentral lists this ribosomal RNA (373 nucleotides) under uncultured organism. RNAcentral's name for it is "partial 16S ribosomal RNA". It matches the Rfam family "Bacterial small subunit ribosomal RNA", at positions 527 to 896 of the family's 1533-position model. The record is from RNAcentral.